UAAUAAGUGUUCUAUGGCACUUUUUAAAUCCAUAUCCACCUUGUGUGCAAUGUCGGUCGAUCUUCUUUUUUUGAGGAUCAACCAAACAUCAACCUUUAUUUUUUAACUCUUUGUCUGAAAAAUAUUAUGAAUAAACAAUUCAAAAUA
This 147-nucleotide unclassified non-coding RNA is filed under the name soil metagenome. Its description in RNAcentral is "partial internal transcribed spacer 1". The record is from RNAcentral.